Molecule: transfer RNA, 77 nt
Filed under: Pseudomonadales bacterium
Lineage: Bacteria; Pseudomonadati; Pseudomonadota; Gammaproteobacteria; Pseudomonadales
Also listed under: 2 other names
Description: tRNA-Pro
Rfam family: tRNA
About the family: Transfer RNA (tRNA) molecules are approximately 80 nucleotides in length. Their secondary structure includes four short double-helical elements and three loops (D, anti-codon, and T loops). Further hydrogen bonds mediate the characteristic L-shaped molecular structure. tRNAs have two regions of fundamental functional importance: the anti-codon, which is responsible for specific mRNA codon recognition, and the 3' end, to which the tRNAs corresponding amino acid is attached (by aminoacyl-tRNA synthetases). tRNAs cope with the degeneracy of the genetic code in two manners: having more than one tRNA (with a specific anti-codon) for a particular amino acid; and 'wobble' base-pairing, i.e. permitting non-standard base-pairing at the 3rd anti-codon position.
Source: RNAcentral
CGGGGUAUAGCGCAGCUUGGUAGCGCGCCUGCUUUGGGAGCAGGAAGUCGGGAGUUCGAAUCUCCCUACCCCGACCA